GAAGGUGGCAAGCGUUAUUCGGAUUUACUGGGCGUACAGGGAGCGUAGGCGGUUUGGUAAGCCCUCUGUGAAAUCUCCAGGCUUAACCUGGAAAAGUCGGAGGGGACUGCUGGGCUAGAGGACGGGAGAGGAGCGCGGAAUUCCCGGUGUAGCGGUGAAAUGCGUAGAGAUCGGGAGGAAGGCCGGCGGCGAAGGCGGCGCUCUGGAACGUUUCUGACGCUGAGGCUCGAAAGCGUGGGGAGCAAACAGGAUUAGAUACCCUGGUAGUCCACGCCUUAAACUAUGAAUACUAAGUGUCGGCAGUUUACUGCCGGUGCCGCAGCUAACGCAUUAAGUAUUCCGCCUGGGAAGUACGGCCGCAAGGUUG
RNAcentral lists this ribosomal RNA (367 nucleotides) under uncultured bacterium. Its description in RNAcentral is "bacterial SSU rRNA". It matches the Rfam family "Bacterial small subunit ribosomal RNA", at positions 527 to 896 of the family's 1533-position model. The record is from RNAcentral.